GCCGUACAAAUGGUGUUUCGCUCGCGAUUCAAAUCGAAUUUGGACUUCGCAGGGGACGUUUCCACAGGCGUUCGUCGGAGAAAAUACGGGAAAACACGGGAUAAACUCGGGAAGGAAUUUACCAUUUCGGAACUCGGCUUUUCGGCCUUUCGUUGCGCGCGUGCUUGUCUGUGUGUGUCUCGAUAUUAUUGUUGCUGCGCUGCGUCGGUGUGUGUGUGCAUUUGAGCCACGGAGAAAUUGUUAACAAAUACAAAAAAGUAAAAGAAAACGAAAAAAGAAUAAACCGGUUCCUUAUUUUCUGCUUCAGCUUCUUCUUCUCCUCGUCGCCUGCAAUUGCCUUUUCGUCAUUCGUAAUAACCAAAAUCGAAUUCGUUUCGCCAGCGCAAUUUUAAUUUCUUUUCGGUUUUUGACCACCCGUUCUUCGGUGCGAAAGUAAUAACAACCAAAACAAGGCAUAAACUAUAUGUAGCAUUGCAAAAUUAACCAAAUUUUUUUUACUGUGCCCCAAAACGAAUACGAAAAAUUCCAACGAAUCAGUGAGUGCAAGAAAUCAAGGAGAUAAAGUUGCGAAUUAAAAUCCAGUGCCAAAAAGUGAGAGAAAUACGAGAAACAAAACAAAAGUUGCAAAUUUACCGAAAAAUUUAAACAGCAGAACAAACGCACACACGGACACCAAAAGGAGGAAGAAAGCAUAAAUUUGGUAACUUGGGGGCAUCUGGUGGAUGCACAGAGUCCAGAGUUUUCGGGACUGCAGGACCAGGUGGAAAAACAAAAGUGGAAGGUCGGUGUAAUUGAACGGCAACAUCGGCGAGCAGAAGAACAACAACUGGAGAGCGUAAAACAUAAACAGACAGUUUUUAAAGCGCCUCUGUUCAAAGAAUUCUACUCGUUAACGAAAUCCGCGAAAUAUUUGCUGAAGUGGAAGUUUGUAUAGAGAUUCCAGAAGGUUGGAGAGCAACAAGCGUUACUGGGAAACUUCUUCAAAAAUUUCGAUGAUGCCCGACUUCUGUUGCUGCUAAAUACGCCGAAUUUCUCACCGAGAAAGCUGAGAAAGCUGAGCAGACCGAAAGUCCGUACGAAUUUGAUAUUGAAACCACAAUGUAUCCGGCCAGCGGCAGUGGAGGAGGCAGUGCAGCGACCGCUGCUAAGUUCCAGAAUCGCUGCGGAUCGCCGCAGUUUGCCAGCGACUAUCCGCACCCACAUCCGCACCAGCAUCCGCACCAGACGACAUCGGUGGCGGUGCACAGUGCCCCGCCCGGAGUGAGUGGUGGCUCCAUAGCCAGCGGUGGGUCCAUGUCCAUGCGUCACGGCCAGCGGGUGGUGGCCUCAGCCCAUCAGCAUCCCAGUCAGAUGACCCUGAACCACGGCGGCAUGGGACACAACCACGGCAUGGGCAUGGCCAUGGGAAUGGGUCACAACCAUGGACAUGCGGCGGCCACCUUGGGCCAUCCGCACUCGCAUUCGCACAACAACAGCAGCAGCAGCAGCAGCCACGGACAUGUGGGCUCGCAUCUGAUCUUCCCCGACGACAUGGACAGCAUCGAGUUCUGCAUGCCGGCGGCGCCCUCCUCCUCGUCCGCCUCCUCGCAGAACGGUCUCGGGAUCGGGGACCAGUUGCUCUUGGGCAGCAGUCACGGCGAGGCGUUCACGGAGCGCCGAAGGAGGGGCCACAGCCGGCGCAGCAAUCAUAAGAUGGACGUGGAACAGCAGGUUAAGUGGUCUCGCAAAAACAUCGCCGCCACCAUGGAACGCUUCGAGCCCACGCCCAACACACAGUCCUCGUCGUCCACUUCAUCGCUCGACUAUGGAUUUGCAGCCGGCGUGAUGACGCCCAGUGGCAGCAGUGCUACGGCCUCGCAUGGCGGUGGCGCCUCAAAUCCCUCACUGCACGUGGCCUUCAACGGAGGCGGUGGAGCAGUGGGCGGUGGUUCAGCCUCGACAUCAGGAGCUAGUGGUGUCAGCGGCUCGGGAGCAGCUGCAGCGGCGGCGCCCUUCAACCAUGUCUAUUCGUAUGCUUACUACGAACCGGGGGCAGCCAAGUGUCACACCAAUGUGCCUGCCGCCCAAGGAGCUGGUCCUGGACAGGGUCAGGCCCACCAGGUCCAGUCGAAGAGCCCGCCGCGCAACUCGAUACGCGCCCUGCUGGCCAAGAGCUUCCGCUCGAAGAGCAGCACCAACCAUGGCGGACAGUCCACAUCCAGUUCUCCGAGUGCCGAGGAGCGGGAUCGCCACACGUAUACCACUCGCUACGGCACCACCGAGAACCUGUACGAGGAGGUCAGCGAUCAAAAGAUCCGCAAGGUGCUGUCCGACAACCGGAUCGCCAGUGGCUCCAGUGCGGGCAAUGUGAAGGAGGAGCAGCGGCGCGUGCAGCACAACCACUUUAGGGUGCUCGACGAGCUAAAUCUCUCGCUGGAGGCCCUAAUAAUGCCGCCGACACCGCCGGACGUCAGUCCCAGUCACGCUAUGGGCGCCGAUGAGCCAAGCACCUCGAUGUCCGCUGGUGCAGUAGGUGGAUCGGCAGUGUCCAGCGUGGUGGCGGGACCCUCGAAGACCGCCCAGAGACCGAGACGCGGCGGCCUCCUGGGCGGUGCGGCUGGGGCAGGGGGCACCUCGAACUCGAGCUCCGCCUCGCACGCUAGCCUGGAGAACCUAUCGAGCACCCUGAACAGCAUGGAGCUCAAGGAUCAUGGCCACAGUAGCUGCAUCAAUCCGGAGUUUGAUGAGGGCGACCUGGACUCCGGCUUCAGUGGCAGCGGCAGCAGCAGCGGCGCCAGCUACAACGAGAGUCUGCGGUACUAUAAGUCCGCCACGCCCACCGGACCGAUGCACCACCAUCACAACCACCAGCAGCAACAGGCGAUGCACCAUCACAGCCUGAACAACAACACCUUGCCGCACAACCUACGCAGCUGCCGAUCCUCCACAGCCUCGGGCACUUCCACAUCGAAGAGCAGCAUGGCCAGCUGUGGCGAGGAUCAGGGCAUUGGCAUGACCUUGGCUGUGGGCGGCGGCGGUGGUGGUGGCAUGAUGACGCCCAUGCACGAGGGAUCCGGCGUUGUGGGCGCCGGUUCCUUGUCGCCCUUCAACUAUCCACGCCGCUGCUCGGCGGACCAGCAGCGCGCUUCGGGCAGAUCGAUGGCCUCCGCCGUGGGCGUUGGACCCGGUGUGGGCAUGGCCGUCGGCGGCAUGGGCGGCGGCAGCAUGAGCAUGAGCAGCAGCAGCAACGUGGCCCUGUCCACGGGCGCGAAACCCAAGAAGAACUUCUGGACCAUGAAACCGUGAUGCUACAAAAAGGCGCUGCGUCACAUUUGCAAGAAAUGGACUAUUGUUAUGGAAUACAAUACAAAGACUGCCUCAUGCCAUGCCAUCCACUAUUACCACCAACCCAACAGCGGCAGCAGCUAUAGCAACUACAGUAGCCGUCGUCACCAUCAGCAUCAGCAGCUGACGUCAU
RNA transcript from Drosophila simulans, 3457 nucleotides. It is a transcript of the gene named midnolin homolog, with no coding region annotated. The record is from RefSeq and is a predicted model, not a curated record. The transcript has 7 exons. Lineage: Eukaryota; Metazoa; Arthropoda; Insecta; Diptera; Drosophilidae.